Molecule: long non-coding RNA, 4831 nt
Organism: Alexandromys fortis (reed vole)
Lineage: Eukaryota; Metazoa; Chordata; Mammalia; Rodentia; Cricetidae
Exons: 3
Source: RefSeq, a predicted model, not a curated record
UGUGGAAAGUCAGACACUGACUCUACCAGGCCGCCUGUGCCCGCGUGUGGCAGGGCAGGUAAGCAGCAUCCUACAGUUCAGCAGGGAGGACAAGAUCCUAACAUGGUAUGUCUCUUCAUACUCUUCCUCACACCUGCUGUCCUCGAGGAAAGGAGUCUGACUCCAAGGAUGGGUCUCCUGGAAGAAUGAGACCUUGUCUCUUCACCCACCUUCAGUCUAUAACCUGAUGAGCCUGUGCGGCUCUGUACACACAAACUUAACUCUCUUCUGCCAACCCUGGGACAGCUUACUACCACACUCAGGCUAAAUGGCCAUCUGGAUAUCCAAUACUCUACUGCAAACAACAGAAAGGAAUCAUAAAACCUCAGCAAAAUCUACACUAUUAAACAGACAGGAAGUUGCUUCUAGACUAAUGUUUCACCAAAAAGGAAAUAAACAAAACUCACUUGUAAGAAAUACAUUCCACGGGGGCCAGGGGAGGGGUGUGAAUCACUUAUGUAAAUCUGACCACGUGUGCACGCUCGCAUUCUUCCAGGAAGUCCACAGACUGUGAAGGGUGCUUCCACACAGCCUUUCAUUCGCUCCUUUCAGCUGGGGAAGGUCAGAAGUGAAAUUUUUUGGCUCGCUCCUUUCAGCUGGGGAAGGUGGCGUUACAGAUUCUUUCCAGAGUCCCAUGAAGCAUCCUCCCACUGACCAACUGCUACACUGCUUCUGAGCACGAGCGGAGGUCAAGGACAACAUGCAGGCACUGAGGAAGACACUAGGAGCAGCAGCCUUCUCAUUGUGAAGGAGCUAGGGUGACCUGCCGGGUAGCAGCACAGGAACACGCGGAGCUAGAAUUCUGUGAGUGGCUGACUCAAGAGUGUUCUCAAGCCGCAGGAGAUUAGCUGACGCACCCAUCCAUUCAUACGACAAGCAUCUGAAUGCCUACCAUAUACCACAUACUUUCUAAGAUCUGUGACAAUGUCAUCUGUAUGGAUUGGUUUCCUAAAUUUUCUACAGGAUCCAUAACUCAGCACCAUCCAAAAAAAAAACAAAUUCCUGAAGCUUCAUAUCACCUCUGCCAUAAAGAAAAGCAACAGUCUAGGGGAAAUGGUCUUUAAAUGCAGAUUUCUGAAUGAAGUCCAUUUCCUCUUACAAGACUGUGUGCACUUCUGAGGAUGGAGACCUUGUUUAAUUCAUUCUUGGCAAUCUCAGUGUAAGAAUUAGUGACUUACCAAACAGUAAUAUAAUAACUUCUCCAUGAGUCUGUGUUCCAUAAUGAGCGUUAUUAUUGCAGUCAUUUCUGCAUUCCCUGCGACAGGGCAUAAAAUAAAGCCAUACCAUACACUUCACAGCUGUGUCAUGGCACGUGAGUUUAUGUAAAACAUUUACCAAAAGCAAAUGGCAAACCACCGAUAAGCAAUGCUUCUCUCUUCAUCUACCUCUCUAGCCCUACAGCAGCCAACCCAUCUCUCCUACCAUGGAUGGACAUGAACUCAGAAGCCAAGCAGAGCCCAGCUUAAGAAGCCGCCAAUUAACUAAAGAGCUUUUCCACUACCCAUUUCCUAUAGGUCAUUUUCCUAGACACCUAACCCAGAAAAAGACUCAAGCAACGUUUCCAAGAACUGACAGCGUGGGACUAAACCACGAGGCUCAGCUCCGUCUGCCUGGCUGCCUUACUCUGAGCACUACACAUGAUUCACUUGAAGUACAGGAAGAGCAAAGGUUCUUCCCUUCCUGUGAGAAGGCAGAAGGAAUGUCUGCAGCAAUAACACCGUUGGAGGAAAAGGCUACAGGCAGGCCACUGAACCAGGCAAAUUAGCUGCAUCUUCAAUUACACCCCAGCUAGUUUCCUCACUACUAGCUCUUCGUGCUUACUACAAAUCUGAAUUGGAAAACUCAGAGAUUCCAUGCUCAAAACAUGGCGAGCAGACCCUGACUCUGAAACCACACAACCAAACAAAGUAAAUCACAAAACACUGGGGCCACCUACAGUAAUCACUAUUUUUAGUUAGCCGAAUACUGCUCCACCCAUUUCUUUAUCCACUCAUUCGACUUACCCCAAUCUGAACCAAUUAAUAACCAUUCAAAAGUUACAGUACUCAAAAGUACACUCCCAAUUCCUGACCCACACCACUGACAGCUGCUUUGGGUCAGAUUCUCACCUACCCUAUAGCUCCAUCCCUUACAGAGAGGAGACGGCCAAGCAAAUCGCUCUGAUCAAGUCUCCACAGGCCCAGGAAGCCCUAGUCAAUGUUAUUAUUUUCUGCACUGAUAUUAAGAACUGUGGGGAGAGGCUCAGGGGUAGAACGCAUUCCUGGGACAUAUAAGGCCCUGGGUUCAAGUGAGGAGGUGUGGGGGAAGCCUAGGAGGUGGCGUCUAGGUGCAUGUUCAGCCACACUGGUCUUCUUCCUACUUUUUUUUUUCAUGGAAAAGCCCUGUUUGUUUGAUUAAAUAAAAAUAAAAUAAGCUGCUCAGGGGCAAUUUUUAAGUCCGAAGAGACACUGCUUUGUUUUAUGGCUGUAUCCGCUGAUGAGCAUCUCUUCUGUGGACCGCUGCUUACACCCCGAAGCCAUCACCUCACUGCACACAUCUGCAGCACUCGGGCUUCACGGGGUCACUGCUGGUCACGCCUGCGGCCAGCAACAGUAACACUGAAGGUUUGAAAGAGAAAAGUCCCAGAAUGGAGGGGACAUGUAGAAUCUAAGAACAAACAAAAACCACUUCUGCCUUGAAGUUUAAGGGAUAUUUCCCUAGUCAUGAUGAACUCCAAAACGCCACAGCAAUGUCAAAAUUGGCCAGAGGCCUCUUUUCUAUUUUAAAAUGCCCUUUCCUCCUUGGGCCCCAGCACCUGCUCUUCCCCCGUGCUUACUAUCAGCCCCCUCGCUCCUCCACGGGCAAUUCACUUUCACUGUAUCUCUCUUUACAAACACUCCUUCCUGACAGAAGCCACCCCCCACCUCCAAAGCCUCAUGGCGUGUUCCUCUCAAUUCUUCCACGACCUCGUCACCUGUCUGUCACACAGGAGCACACAGAGCCUACCUUUCUCACGGGCGUUCAGCUCCUAGCACGGCGGCAAGCACUAAAUGUGCGCUUGUGAUUUAGUGAAAAGGGAUACAGACACAAGUACCUUUCAAAACCUAACGCUAGAUUUAUACAACAUAAAGACAAUUUCAGGUUAACAUACGUCAAAUAAAUAUCUGUAAAACAAAGCCCAGCCCAGUGUGGUGGCAUGGACCCGAGAUCCCAACACUUAGGAGGCAGAAGCAAGAUGAUCAGGCACAAAGGCCAGCUUAAGGUAUAAAGCCAGUUUGAAGCCAAUCUGGACUAUAGGAGCCUGAAAGAAAACUGUGGGCAGGUGUGGGGGGGGGGGGGCAAGUGAAAAAAGGAGAAAAAGAAAGACCCAAUGAGAGAAAGAGGGAGGACUGGAGAGAUAGCUCAGGUGGUAAAGUGCUCGCUGAGCAAGCAUGAGGAUCUGAGUCCAAUCUCUAGCUCCCAUACUUUAAUUAAUUAAUUUUUUAAAAAAAGCCAGGCAUAGUGGCACAACCUUGUAAUUCCAGCACUGGGGAGGCAAAGACAGGAGGCUCCCUGAGGCUCGCUAGACCUGGAUCCCCAUGAGAGAACCUGUCUCCUAACACAAGGUUCCUGAGGAGCAACACUGAGGCUGACCUUUGACCUCUACACGUGCAUGCAUUCACGUACACAGAGACACUGCAAACACACACAGACACACUGCAAACACACACAGCACACAGCUCACAAAAAAGGAAAGAAACAAGUAAGGAGAGGGAGAGAGGUUACUACACAACUAUUUCUUCGCAGCCUCAUUACAGAGAGAAAUUCAAAUUACAGAAUGCAUAUAAAUGAGAUGGGGCAGGUCUAAGCUCCAGUGCUGGAGAGGCAGACAGCUCACGAGUUCAAGGUUACCCUUGGUUACAGUGAGAGUUCUACGCCAACCUGAACAACAAGAAAUCCUGCCUCAAAAAAGGAGGGAGACUUUGUAUACAAAUAAAAAUGUACAAGUACUGCAAUCCAAAAAAAAAAAAAAAAAAUCUUAGGUCCGGUGGUGGUGGCGCACACCUUUAAUCAGAGCACUCAGGAGGCGGGGGCAGGUGGAUCUCAGUGACCUGGAGGCCAGCCUGAUCUACAAAGCAAGCCCCAGGCCGGCCAGGGCUGUUAUAGAGAAACCCUGUCUCGAAAACAAAACCAAAUCAAAAGAAAAAAAAAUCUUUUAAAACAAGCAGAGCAACCAUUCCGAAGAUUUUAAAACAGUAAAAAUAGUAAGAGUAUAACUAAUUCUCUUUUAAAUAGGUGAAAUUUAGGACUGAUCACUGUAUAUAGUAACGGGUUUUUCCAUUUACUUAAUUACACACUAUCAAAGCUAAACAGAUCAGUUUCUACCUCGCCUGGAAUUACUACUGCAUAUACGUGGGUUUUAGACUUAACUGAUAGAACACCAGCCUCAAAAGCAUUCUGUGAGCUCUCAUGGGAAACACUUUAAAGUCUGUCUUUCUAGCCCUAAUACAAAAAUAGGUGAUGUGACUUCUACCAGUUACUGUGUUAUGGGUGCCACAAUUACAGGGAAUUAUUUUACUCAACAUAUAGAGUAAGUGCCAGGCACUUCUCCAAGCAAUUUACAUACUGGCUCAGUUAAAUUUCACAAAAGAGAUGUAAAUAGGUUAUUAGAUAUUAUACAGCUGAGGAAACAGAUAUUCAGAGGGACCAUUCCCAAGGACACACAGUUAAUAAACUAAAGAAAAAGAAAGUGAAUUGAGGAAGUAUAGGUCCGAAGUCCACUGCAAGAACGUGUUGUCUCCAAUGUGCUAAAGAAAAGUCUACACAUUUUAAA